Molecule: ribosomal RNA, 497 nt
Filed under: uncultured bacterium
Lineage: Bacteria
Description: partial 16S ribosomal RNA
Rfam family: Bacterial small subunit ribosomal RNA
Source: RNAcentral
GAUGAACGCUGGCGGCGUGCCUAAUACAUGCAAGUCGAGCGAACAGAUGAGGAGCUUGCUCCUCUGACGUUAGCGGCGGACGGGUGAGUAACACGUGGAUAACCUACCUAUAAGACUGGGAUAACUUCGGGAAACCGGGGCUAAUACCGGAUAAUAUAUUGAACCGCAUGGUUCAAUAGUGAAAGACGGUUUUGCUGUCACUUAUAGAUGGUUCCGCGCCGCAUUAGCUAGUUGGUAAGGUAACGGCUUACCAAGGCAACGAUGCGUAGCCGACCUGAGAGGGUGAUCGGCCACACUGGAACUGAGACACGGUCCAGACUCCUACGGGAGGCAGCAGUAGGGAAUCUUCCGCAAUGGGCGAAAGCCUGACGGAGCAACGCCGCGUGAGUGAUGAAGGUCUUCGGAUCGUAAAACUCUGUUAUUAGGGAAGAACAAAUGUGUAAGUAACUAUGCACGUCUUGACGGUACCUAAUCAGAAAGCCACGGCUAACUACGUG